CCCAGACUCCUACGGGAGGCAGCAGUGGGGAAUGUUGGGCAAUGGGCGCAAGCCUGACCCAGCAACGCCGCGUGAAGGAAGAAGGCUUUCGGGUUGUAAACUUCUUUUCUCAGGGACGAAGCAAGUGACGGUACCUGAGGAAUAAGCCACGGCUAACUACGUGCCAGCAGCCGCGGUAAUACGUAGGUGGCAAGCGUUAUCCGGAUUUACUGGGUGUAAAGGGCGUGUAGGCGGGGACGCAAGUCAGAUGUGAAAACCACGGGCUCAACCUGUGGCCUGCAUUUGAAACUGUGUUUCUUGAGUACUGGAGAGGCAGACGGAAUUCCUAGUGUAGCGGUGAAAUGCGUAGAUAUCAGGAGGAACACCGGUGGCGAAGGCGGCCUGCUGGACUGCAACUGACGUUGAGGCCCGAAAGCGUGGGGAGCAAACAGGAUUAGAUACCCGAGUAGA
This 450-nucleotide ribosomal RNA is filed under the name uncultured bacterium. RNAcentral describes it as "bacterial SSU rRNA". It matches the Rfam family "Bacterial small subunit ribosomal RNA", at positions 330 to 794 of the family's 1533-position model. The record is from RNAcentral.